RNAcentral lists this ribosomal RNA (207 nucleotides) under uncultured bacterium. Its description in RNAcentral is "partial 16S ribosomal RNA". It matches the Rfam family "Bacterial small subunit ribosomal RNA", at positions 568 to 774 of the family's 1533-position model. The record is from RNAcentral.
CGCGUAGGCGGUUUUGUAAGUCGAAUGUGAAAGCCCCGGGCUUAACCUGGGAAUUGCGUUCGAUACUGCGAAACUAGAGUACGGUAGAGGGAAGUGGAAUUCCGGGUGUAGCGGUGAAAUGCGUAGAUAUCCGGAGGAACACCAGUGGCGAAGGCGACUUCCUGGGCCAGUACUGACGCUGAGGUGCGAAAGCGUGGAGAGCAAACA